Molecule: ribosomal RNA, 253 nt
Filed under: uncultured bacterium
Lineage: Bacteria
Description: partial 16S ribosomal RNA
Rfam family: Bacterial small subunit ribosomal RNA
Source: RNAcentral
UACGUAGGGGGCAAGCGUUGUCCGGAUUUAUUGGGCGUAAAGAGCGUGUAGGCGGCCAGACAGGUCAGCUGUGAAAACUCGAGGCUCAACCUCGGGCUGUCGGUGGAAACCGUGUGGCUAGAGUCCGGAAGAGGAGAGUGGAAUUCCCGGUGUAGCGGUGAAAUGCGCAGAUAUCGGGAAGAACACCCGUGGCGAAGGCGGCUCUCUGGGACGGUACUGACGCUGAGACGCGAAAGCGUGGGGAGCGAACAGG